This 394-nucleotide ribosomal RNA is filed under the name Lactiplantibacillus plantarum. RNAcentral describes it as "bacterial SSU rRNA". It matches the Rfam family "Bacterial small subunit ribosomal RNA", at positions 37 to 398 of the family's 1533-position model. The record is from RNAcentral. Lineage: Bacteria; Bacillati; Bacillota; Bacilli; Lactobacillales; Lactobacillaceae.
CGCCGUGGCGGCGUCCUAAUACAUCAACUCACAACUUUAUUGACUUUGCUUGCAUCAUCAUUUACAUUUGAGUGUAGUCCGAACUGGUGAGUCCCACGUGGGAAACCUGCCCAGAGCGGGGGAUAACACCUGGAAACAGAUGCUAAUACCGCAUAACAACUUGGACCGCAUGGUCCGAGUUUGAAAGAUGGCUUCGGCUAUCACUUUUGUCAUGGUCCCGCGGCGUAUUAGCUAGAUGGUGGGGUAACGGCUCACCAUGGCAAUGAUACGUAGCCGACCUGAGAGGGUAAUCGGCCACAUUUGGGACUGAGACACGGCCCUCCAACUCUCGGGAGCAGCAGUAGGGAAUAUCUUCCACUAAUUGGUACUUAUAUAUGUCUGAUGGAGCAACGCC